Olea europaea var. sylvestris is the source of this 295-nucleotide long non-coding RNA. RefSeq lists it as uncharacterized. NCBI's taxonomy places the organism in Eukaryota, Viridiplantae, Streptophyta, Magnoliopsida, Lamiales, Oleaceae. The transcript is spliced from 2 exons. The record is from RefSeq and is a predicted model, not a curated record.
UCAAGAAUUAGUUUCUGAAUUAAUUGAAAGAAAGUGCCCACAGCCGGUAUAGUCUUUGUAUCGGAAAAUACUAUAGAAGGUUUGAAUGUUUGAAGCACCAAAAUUCUUGGAAUUAAAGAAGAUGAAAGUUCUCGGAUCAGAGUUAAUUUAAGGUUGAUCAUUGAACUUAGAUCACAUAAACCUGACCCAGAAAACCAUGAAGAAAAAUAAAAGAACAGCUCCAACCACAAUAGUCCGCCGAUGAAAACUCGGGUCUCUAAUUUCUUCAUCCGAACCCUGCCCAUAUUUACGAGUU